This 118-nucleotide small nucleolar RNA is filed under the name Pteropus alecto (black flying fox). Its description in RNAcentral is "Small nucleolar RNA U3". It matches the Rfam family "Small nucleolar RNA U3". From Rfam's summary of the family: Small nucleolar RNAs (snoRNAs) are involved in the processing and modification of rRNA in the nucleolus. There are two main classes of snoRNAs: the box C/D class, and the box H/ACA class. U3 snoRNA is a member of the box C/D class. RNAcentral also lists the same sequence under 1 other name. Lineage: Eukaryota; Metazoa; Chordata; Mammalia; Chiroptera; Pteropodidae. The record is from Rfam by way of RNAcentral.
AAGACUAUACUUUCAGGGAUCAUUUCUAUAGUUUGUGAAUAACUGCCAACACCAAGAUGGCAGUGAUGUUAGUUAUCUGACAAAGAUUUUAAAGAAACCAUGUCAGAUAAACAUCUGA